This 3564-nucleotide unclassified non-coding RNA is filed under the name Hevea brasiliensis (rubber tree). Lineage: Eukaryota; Viridiplantae; Streptophyta; Magnoliopsida; Malpighiales; Euphorbiaceae. The record is from RNAcentral.
GCAAAAACUAAAAUUAGAAUCACAAUGAAACUGAUUAAAACUGAACUAAAAUCCAAACCAAAAUUUAGUUCCUAAAAAUAAAAAAACAGAAGGUUCGGCUCCAAUUUCUAUUCUUAGCUAGAAUUGUAUUAAAACGCUGAACCGAUAUAGCAUUAGAUAUCUGGAACGGGUCAAUUCAUUAGGGUGUGGCCCCAUGGACCCGCCCAUCUGUAAUAACUACCUCUUUCCCAAAACGUUUAGCUGUAGCGAUCUACCUAUAUUCAUGCCUAGAUGAUUUUAUCCAUCUAUUCAAUAUGGCUGAUGUAAUGCCACUUUGAAUUGAUUUCAAUUUGUAAAAAAUUGCUGAGACAUAUUCAUGUUGCAUUUAUUUUUGAGAUAUAAUUGUAUCUAUUAAAGUUUUAUGCAUUAAAUAUAAUCAUUUGCAGCAAUGGUAAGCACUGAAUCUACAUGACUGAGUAGCCUGGGCCACCUCCUCCUUCAGGUACCGUCCACUCAAUGUUUUGCUUUGGAUCCUUGAUGUCACAUGCCUUGCAGUGUAGGCAAUUCUGAGCAUUGAUCUGUAACUUCAGUUGGCUCUUUUCAUUUGGGACAUACUCGUAUACACGAGCAGGACAAUAUCGUGACUCCGGUCCAGCAUAUUCUGGCAAAUUCACUAGCUCAGGAAUUUUAGGGUCCCUCAAACGAAGAUGAGCUGGUUGAUCGUGUUCAUGAUUUGUGUUGCUCCUAAAUAAAACAAGAUAAAUAUAUAAUUAUUUUCAUGCAUGAUGAAAAGUAAAGAACAGCAAUUACAUUAUUUUUGCCAAUGAAAGUAACAUAUUUCAAAUUAAGGCAUUCUAUUUCUAUAGUCCCUCCAGCUAAUAAAUUCUCAUGAAAAUAGACAACUGCUGGUAGAAAAUUCAUUAACAAGAAUCCUACUCCACUGCUCCAGUCUAUCCAGCCUAGACAUGCACAUAAAAUUUCAAAUAAUUAAUCUUUUCCAUCAACACUCCACAGUAAUAUUUAACCAAAAUCAAUCUGAUAUGGCACCAAUCAGUUACUUCAGCAGUUAUGAAAUCUUUUUGGUCUAGCACAUUCUACUUCUAAAGCAGCAUUACACAAACUUUUACUAAUAUCUUUACAACAUGGUCACUUAUUCUGAUACAUUACCUACUUGACAUGCCAUCUCACUUGUAAUAAAAAUUAUUAUUGAAAAAAGUCUCAUAUGCUACAGAAACAGAAGAAAAAUAGUUGUGGAAACAGAUGCUUGUUCGUAAAGAGUCCAAGGCCAUGUUUAAGUGCUGAAAAUUGAUGAUUUUUCACAUUAGGACCUUGCUUGUCAACAAGAAGAGAAAAAGUAGAAGGGAGAAAAAAGGCAGAAAUAUAAUGAUUGAGAUAACACAUGACCCAUUACUGUCAUAACAUCCUGAUAGUUCAUAGGAAUGCCACCACAGCUUCUCCACCCACCUAUUUUCAUGACAAGCUGGAUAAUAUGACAAACAUACAGUGGAACACCAACUCAAAGAGCCGUCAAAAAAUAAUUGCAAAUACAUCCUAACCAUAUUUUGACAAAUUUUGGGCGGGAGUGAAGGUGUCCUGCAUAAAAUCUCUUAAAUGAUACAUGAAAAUAUAUAUAUGAAGAAGCGUAUAUGUGUUGAAACCUGUGCAAAGAGGUUGGUACAUCAAAAGAAAAAACCCCAUCUGGUUUUGGAUAUUCAAUUGGAGAGUGUAAUUGUGCAACAUCUGUUGCUUCAUGAUCCGGUUUCCCAUGUUUCAGUGUGAAGGGGGACUUUCCUUUCAGUAUGUAGUGUUCUAAUGCACUUAUAGCCAUUCCAGGAAUAAGUCCAUGCUCAAAUGCAGGUCGAUAGUUCCGAGCUUUGUAGAGCUCUUCCCAUAUCCAAGAAUUCCUUAAAGUUUCCCAGUACAAUUCCAAAUUUGAGCCUUCAUGAAGAGCACCAAAUGCAGCUUCUGCUGCUAGCAUUCCUGAUUUCAUAGCAGUAUGUGUUCCCUUUAUUUUUGGUACAUUUAUGAAGCCAGCCGAACAUCCAAUAAUUGCUCCUCCCGGGAAAACUGGAUAUGGAAUAGACUGGAUACCUCCUUCAUUUAAAGUGCGAGCCCCAUACUGGAUGACAGUUCCACCUUCCAGAAUUGGUUUGAUGGCAGGAUGAUGCUUAAGUUUCUGGAAUUCCUCAUAUGGGCUUAAGUAAGGAUUCCUAUAAUUCAAAGCAACCACUAGGCCUAUUGAAACCUGCCUGUCUUUCAUGUGAUAUAGAAAUGAUCCUCCAUAUGUUUUCUUAUCCAAGGGCCAACCUAAUGUGUGAAGAAUUGCACCAGGAUUAUGCUUGCUCUCAUCAAUUUCCCAAACCUCCUUAAUUCCCAAAGCGUAAGUCUGAUGUUGAGCAUUCACCUUCUCUCUCAAUUGGUAUUUUUUAAUUAUUUUCUCUGACAGUGAUCCUCGACAACCUUCAGCAAAAAGCGUUAACCGACCUUUUAAUUCUACACCACGCUGAAAAUUCUCCUUCUUAGAACCAUCUUUGGCAAUUCCCAUAUCAUUAGUUCCAAUCCCAAUGACACUGUUGUUCGCACCAUAUAGUAUCUCACUCGCAGCAAAACCUGGAUAUAUAUCCACUCCAAAUUCUUCAGCUUUCACCCCCAUCCAUCGCACUAAUUGACUCAAACUUAUAACAUAGUUCCCCCGGUUAUCAAAAGGACUCGGAAGCGAAUAGGCACGAUCCUUUGUAAGAAACCAAAAUUUGUCUGAAGAAGCAGGUACACUGAUUGGUGCCUGUUCCUGUUUCCACUGUGGGAGAAGCUCGUCUAGCGCCCGGGGCUCAAACACAUUGCCAGAUAUGAUGUGGGCACCCACUUCAGCGCCUUUCUCAACUACACAGACCGAUAAAUCCACACCCUUUUCUUGGCACAAUUGCUUCAAUCUUAUUGCAGCAGAUAAACCCGCCGGCCCCGCUCCAACAAUCACAACAUCGUACUCUAUAGACUCUCGCUCCGGUUCAACGCUAAAACAUCUAAUAAUACUUCGAUUUCCAUCAGAAAUCGCACAGUUUGGCAAGUACCCAGAAGAGGGAAACCAGUUACAACCACUUUUAGAGGCUAAAAAACUUAAAUUUUGAUUAAAACGGCGAAAGUAGGGAGACCCAUUCAGAUUUUGCGUUUGAUAUGAGGAACCAGAGAGUUUUGGAAGAGAUGUACAUGGAUUGGACUGAGAUUUAUUAUCUGCCGAGUUAGUUGAAUUGGAGAGAUGAUUACAAUGGGAGAUGGAGGAGACAGAAGAUUUCGAUAAAAGGAAUUUGGAGCGGGAAGAGAUGAAUCUAUGCAUGAUUGAUCGAUGGCGUACGGGAAUUGAGACAGAAAGCUGAGUGCUUUAUAUGGUUUGUUUGCUUAUUAUUCAAUUCGUUCAAGAUCAGGCUGAGUGAUGGGAUACUGACGUGCAAAGUUCAUCUUCGUUCGGACACGUGUUGAACGUAAGCUCUCGAAUACCAAUUGUCACUGUUACUUUGGGAGGGAAAAGAAGACGUAAGACAUGAAUUUUCUUAUGCAAAAUAAGUGAUUCGAUUCUGUUAUUAAUUAAGC